CAGGAAGAUAAUUUCAUCCGGCGCUCUGUUUAAGGUUAAAGCCUGAUUUGCAUUUCAAAAGCGGCGGCUGGCCGCCUCGCCACCUCAGGGACGCCAUCGGGCCGAGUGGCGUGUCAUUUAAUGUCAGCGAGCGCGGCGCCCUGAUGAAAUUAAUAGAGCAGCUGGUGAUUGAUAACGCCGCGCAGCUCGUCAACGCUUCAACUGUCCGCCUCCUCGCUGACACCCGGCGUCCACAAUGACGCUCUGAGAGAUCCCAUCAGCCCCGGCGUUCCGCUCCACCUACAGAUCCUCCUGCUGCUCACGGGAACCAGGUAACCUUCGCCGCCGCCGUCAGCUGGAUCACCUGCUACAGGUGAGAAUGACGGGUCAGAGGUCACAUGACCCAGAGCGGCGAAAACACCCGACUGUCUGCAGGAGACAUCUAGAAUGAAAACCCCUCACUGUCUGCAGGAGACAUCUAGAAGUGUCUAGAUUCUCCGAUGGUUGAAACUCGUUUCUGUUUCAGUUCAUCAGGUUUUAAUUUAAACAUCUUUGUGUUUUUAUUUUUAUGUGGAUCUGUUUGUUUUAGUUCUAUGUUUGGUCUCAGUUUUGGAUCCGUUGCCGCGGUAACAAACAAAAACAGUAAAUCUGACGGACUGAACAGAAAAACUCACAGUCCUCUUUCUGACUCGAUAAAAACAUGAACUCAGAGUCGUCGGGGGGGGGAGGAGUCAGCGGUGGGCAAAGGGGCGGAGCCAUCAGAUCCUGCUAAUGGAGGUCAUCAGGGUCACGGUAAACCCUGAGAGAGAGAGAGAGAGAGAGAGAGAGAGAGAGAGAGAGAGAGAGAGAGAGAGAGAGAGAGAGAGAGAGAGAGAGAGAGAGAGAGAGAGAGGGAGAGAGAGAGAGAGAGAGAGAGAGAGAGAGAGAGAGAGAGAGAGAGAGAGGGAGAGAGAGAGAGAGGGAGAGAGAGAGAGAGCGGCGAGGUCCUGAAUGUUUGUUGUCCCGGGUGUUGGUGAGGAGUGGGUGAGGAGAGGGUGAGGGGGGGGUGAGGAGCUCUGAAAUCCUCCAAACGGGCAGAUCUCUCCGUUUCUCCCGCCUCUUGCGCGGCGGCGUUCCUCCUCCUCCUCCUCCUCCUCCUCCUCCUCCUCCUCCAUGAUGAGGAUAUUUCCUGUAAACCUGCGGAGACAAAAGCGGAGGUGGAUGAGAGGCUGAUUCAUUCGCUCAUUUCCAUCUGCUAUUAUCCGUGUGUACGCCGAGAGCGGCGAGAUAAAGAGCGAGGGAAAAAGAAACGAGUGUUUUAAAAAAAAGGAGGAAAAUAAAGGAGGAGAGGAGGAGGAGGAGGAGGCGCAGAGACGUUUGAAUCAGUUUCAUCCUGAGAAUCGUUUCUGCAGAAGAAGAAAAGCCCGUCUGCUUUUGUGCGUCCGUUUAUUUAUAGACGCCGUUUUUUCCACGGCCGUAAUUGUCCAGGAAAUAUCAAAUUUGCAUAGAGUGAUUAUUGUUGAUUGUUUAUCUCGCCGUCAGGACGCCUCGAUAUUCCCGCGCUGACAGGUUGUCAAGUACUUAAAACUCAUUUAUUUGGGAAAUUUGCAUGUAAUUUGGCGGUAAUGAGGGGGACGUCUGUGGUCACGGAUUAGAGAAGAAGAAGAGGAUUCAGGAUGACUGGCGUUCCUCCACGCUAACGCUACCUUCGCCCGAACAACAGAGGAUUGUGUUCAAACGGUUGGCAUGGCGGCGGCGGCGGCUUAAUAACAGCGGGAGCAGCGGUGAGCCAGCUGAGCGCCGACGAGAGGAAGUGUUUCUGUCGGCCUGCGGGCCGGCGAGUCGGAGAAACGGGAUCAGAGACAGAGAGGCUCGGUUCUGUGGGAGCGGACGCCAACGUGCCAGAGAGCGCCAAAGAGCGGCGGAGAGCGCCAAAGAGCGCCAAAGAGCGUCAAAGAGCGUCAAAGAGCGUCAAAGAGCGCCAAAGGGCGCCAAAGAGCGUCAGAGAGCGCCAAAGAGCGUCAGAGAGCGUCAGAGAGCGUCAAAGAGCGCCAAAGAGCGGCGGAGAGCGCCAAAGAGCGUGAUUCACCUGCAGGAAAAAAGCUCUUCAAGGACACACCUGAAAAAAAAAUAAACCUGACAACAUAAACUAGAUUAAAUAAUCCAGAUUAGAUAAACCAGAUUAAAUAAUCCAGAUUAGAUAAACCAGAUUAAAUAAUCCAGAUUAGAUAAACUAGAUUAAAUAAUCCAGGUUAGAUAAACUAGAUUAGAUAAACUAGAUUAAAUAAUCCAGAUUAGAUAAACUAGAUUAAAUAAACUAGAUUAAACAAUCCAGACUAGAUAAACUAGAUUAAAUAAUCCAGAUUAGAUAAACUAGAUUAAAUAAACUAGAUUAAAUAAUCCAGAUUAGAUAAACUAGAUUAAAUAAUCCAGAUUAGAUAAACUAGAUUAGAUAAACUAGAUUAAAAAAACUAGAUUAAAUAAUCCAGAUUAAAUAAACUAGAUUAGAUAAACUAGAUUAAAUAAACUACAUUAGAUAAUCCUGACAUUAUAAUCCUGAGGCUGCUCAGAGAGGCGGGGACAGUCUUGACGUCUCUGUAAUCUGAUCAUUUCCGUUAAUCUGGAUUAUUUCAGGUUAUCAACAUUUUUUUUUUUACGGUCAAAUCUAAAAAAAGUUGAAAAGUUUUUUUUAUUUUUUUUCCCGCGGCGUGCAGCGUCGGACUUUGAGCUGCCGUUCAAACAGUCGGCGUUUUUUCGGCCCAAGGUCGGCUUCAGAAGAUGAGCGCUCAGCUCGCCGCUCACGGACCGCCGCUGACUCACUGAGUGAGAGAACAGAGCGACUCCUACACCUGAGAGCGAGUCAGUGAGUCACCUGAGCGCCAAGGUUAAACGCUCGCUCUGCCUCCUCUCCAAAAUAGAUCCACCGCUAACCUCUGCAGAAAAACACGCCACUCCGAACGCUGCUGUUAGAGCGCCGCUCUCUACCGCUGUACGACUGAGAGCGUUUACACCCGUGUGUGUGUGUGUGCGUGUGUGUGUGUGUGUGCGUGUGUGUGAGACUCUUUUAAAAGGGUGAGCGAGGAUAAUCGGCCCCGGCGCUCCGGACUAAAAGGCCGGGUCAGAGUUUUAAAGAGAAGCGAUGUAUUUCCCAUCCCGGGUAACGGUGAUGAAGUGGGCCCUUGUGACUCAACCUGAGAGCAUGAAAAGGGCCUCAGAGGGGACCGCCAUCACCGGCCCCUCUCUUUACGGUCCUAACGCCGCCCGAGCGAGCGAGCAGAGAGGAAGGAGAGCGGCGGUGGAGAGCUCUCAGAGCGUGAGCUUCCUGCCGCCUCUCUGAGCCUGAAAGCUCCAAUAAUAAUGUCCUGAACAGAGAGGAGGACGCGCUCGCUCGCUCGCUCGCUCGCCGAGCGCCACAGACACACACCCGAGAGAGAGUGUGUGUGUUAGAGUGUGUGUGUGUUAGAGUGUGUGUGUGUUAGAGUGUGUGUUACACCUGUCUGUGUGUCAGUGAAUCAGGUGUUUGUCUCUCCUGAGGAACGAACGUCUGAAAUAUUUCUGUUUAGAGGAACGUUUACCAAGUCCAGUCCAGGUUUUAUUUAAAAGUCCAGUCCAGGUUCUUGUUUAAAGUCCAGUUCAGGUUCUUGUUUAAAGUCCAGUCCAGGUUUAAUUUAAAAGUCCAGUCCAGGUUUUAUUUAAAAGUCCAGUCCAGGUUUUAUUUCAAAGUCCAGUCCAGGUUUUAUUUUGAAGUCCAGUCCAGGUUUUAUUUUAAAGUCCAGUUCAGGCUUUAUCUUAAAGUCCAGUUCAGGUUUUAUUUUGAAGUCCAGUUCAGGUUUUAUUUUGAAGUCCAGUUCAGGUUUUAUUUUGAAGUCCAGUUCAGGUUUUAUUUUGAAGUCCAGUCCAGGUUUUAUUUUAAAGUCCAGUCCAGGUUCUUGUUUAAAGUCCAGUCCAGGUUCUUGUUUAAAGUCCAGUUCAGGUUUUAUUUUGAAGUCCAGUCCAGGUUCUUGUUUAAAGUCCAGUUCAGGUUUUAUUUUGAAGUCCAGUCCAGGUUCUUGUUUAAAGUCCAGUUCAGGUUCUUGUUUAAAGUCCAGUUCAGGUUCUUGUUUAAAGUCCAGUUCAGGUUUUAUUUAAAAGUCCAGUCCAGGUUCUUGUUUAAAGUCCAGUUCAGGUUUUAUUUUGAAGUCCAGUUCAGGUUUUAUUUUAAAGUCCAGUUCAGGUUUUAUUUCAAAGUCCAGUUCAGGUUCUUGUUUAAAGUCCAGUCCAGGUUUUAUUUUAAAGUCCAGUUCAGGUUUUAUUUUGAAGUCCAGUUCAGGUUCUUGUUAAAAGUCCAGUUCAGGUUCUUGUUUAAAGUCCAGUUCAGGUUUUAUUUUAAAGUCCAGUCCAGGUUCUUGUUUAAAGUCCAGUUCAGGUUCUUGUUUAAAGUCCAGUUCAGGUUUUAUUUUGAAGUCCAGUCCAGGUUCUUGUUUAAAGUCCAGUUCAGGUUCUUGUUUAAAGUCCAGUCCAGGUUCUUGUUUAAAGUCCAGUCCAGGUUUUGUUUUCUUCGUGUUCUUGUGUUUUUUUUCCCUGGAUGUUUUUUUUCAUGUUUUUUUCUUCUUCAUUUUUCGGUUUCUCUCCGAUUUUCUCGCUCAGCUGAUCGGCGUUUUUCUUUCUUCAUAUUUCACUUUUUUAAACGGCGUUCUGACUCAGACACUCUGCGGCGUGGAGGAGGUUCUGACUCGGUUUUCAGCGAGGAGGUCACACUGUUCGGUUUUACUGGUUCUGAUGAAUCUCUCCGAUCAGAACCGGUUCCUUCGUCUCUCAGAGUUCCUGUCGGUGUCAGACCCGGUUCAGCAGGUGUCUCUGAACUUUUUAAAUCCAGGUUCAAACACCUGAGCUCCUCCGUCAGGACUCAAACAUGACGGCGGCGGCGGCGGUGGCGUUCACAUCUUCAUCUGGUUGUCACUCAGCUCCUCGUCCCGUAAACACGCUCGGGCUCGCCGCGAUCUCGGGGGACAGAGUCGGUAAAUGUUGUUGCGAGUCCGCCUGGGCCGUUGUCAGCAUUACGGCGUUAUUAAUUCUUGAGUGCGUGCGGCGUGUUGACAGCAGAGACGGCGAGAUGUGACACGCUGACACGGUGACGGGCUGACAGAGAGGACAGCUCGCAGUCUGACGCUCUAUAAAUAAGUGGUUUGGAUGGGAUCUAGAAAGACUCGGCGCCCCAUCAGGUUCUUCUAUCUUCACUGUCUCUUCCUCUUUUUUUUGACUCCCCCCCCGCCGCCGCCGCCGCCGCCGCCCCCCCUCCUGGAUGGAUGCCUGAGUUGGCGGGGGCAGAAAUAAACCGCAGUAAUGGCUCUGCUUUGCUGCUAAUCUUGUCAUAAGAAGGUGCGGCCCUGCGAGGAUCGCUCCGCCGUGUGAUAUCCUCAUUUAAACAUCAAACGCCUCCAUCAUUAGGAAGCCGGCGCCGCCGAGCCCCACUUUUCAAGGGAAAUUAUUACAUCUCGCCGCCGCACAAGUGUAAUGCAGGAAGACGUUUCCUGUCAAGCAGAGGCGCAGAAAACCCUCACUGGACUUGAUGUUUGCUCACUUGAAGGAAAACAUCAUCAUUAGCGGCGUUCUCCGCUGAUAGACGCAGCCCUGACUCGGGGUGUCGCCGGCCCGCCGCGGGCUCUGAUGAUCGCCUUCAUUUGGACUCGCCGCUCGUGUUUGAGAUCUGAGAUUUGAGGACGGAUCUGCUAAGUGGAUCCGGCCCUCCUCCUCCUGACAGCUCCUCUGGAGGGUCUGGUGGCGCCGCAGAGAGUCUGACGUGUGUGAGAACGGCGCUCUAACACGCCGGAUUCAGACCGUCACACGGGACUGACAGGUGCAGAUCCAGGCUGACGAGCCGAGCACAGAGACUGACCUCUAAUGACCUGGACCUGACCCUGAUCCUGAGUCCACUCCAGCGUCGGUGGUUUCAGAGUCCGGUCCAGGUUUUGUCUCCAGACUCACCGUGUAAACAUGCAGCCGAGAAAACGUGAACGUGUCCUCCUCCCCAACACUAGGGGGCGAUAUGGGUCUUUUCAGACAACCGUCAACAACAACAGCAGGUCGGUGUCAGACGUCAGAAGUGUCUACAACUGCUGCUGGGCAUUUUGGAGAAACAAGAAGAUGGAGCAUCGUACAGCGUUGUUUUUGUCCGACAUGAUGGACGCGCUACUUUUUCUAAAGAGGAGACCAACGCUACUCCUCUACUCUGGGGGUUUGUUACGGGGUUAUGGGGGCGUGGCCUCAUACUCCGACUACGCUGGUUACAUGGUAGAGAAAAUCUAAUUCCAAUCUCAUUAUCUGGGUGUUUUAAUCGGAGUUCUUAAACUCUGAUUAUAGUCGGACUAAAGUGUUUACAUGACCUUCAGCUAUCCGGUCUUUAUCGGAAUAAGGCGAUAAUUCGGUUUUCUCGAGUGUCAUGGAAACGGACUGAGUGAUGAUAGAGUCGGACAAAAAACGGGUCAGCGAUAGAACUCCUGAAAGUUCUGGUUCUGGUUCUGGUUCUGGGAUCUGAAGGUGACGGCUCAGUCUGUGUUUUUCCCGCUAUAAUUUAUUCAUGUUCCGGGGUUCUUCUUCUUCUUCUUCUUCUUCUUCUUCUUCUUCUUCUCCUCCAGUGUUCGGCGUUUGAGGACGAAACUUUGAACUGAGAACAAAGACGUGGAGAUCUGGGUCACAAACACACAAACACACACACACACACAAACACACACACACACACACAAACACACACAAACACACAAACACACACACACACACACUUCUCCGUACUCUGUGUGUGUGUGUGUGUGUGUGUGUGUGUGUGUGUGUGUGUGUGUGUGUGUGUUUGUGUGUGUGUUGUGUUCGGUUGUGUGUGUGUUGUGUUGUUGUUGUGUGUGUGUGUGUGUGUGUGUGUGUGUGUGUGUGUGUGUGUGUGUGUGUGUGUGUGUGUGUUGUUGUGUGUGUGUGUGUGUGUGUCGUCUCCUCUCUCUCCUCCACGUUUGUCCUUAAAGUGAGAAACAGCGGGGCGGCGCCAUGAUCUGAGGGAGUCAGGGUGGCGUGGGGGGCGGAGCUAAAUAAUCGAUGAUUUUCAUCUGAUUGGAAAAAUAGAAACAGAGAGACGAUAAACCGAUCAGUCCAUCAAUUAAUCGAUCAAUAAUCAAUCAAUCCUUCACCAGACGGUGAGCUAAUGCCGUCUCCUCCUUCAUGACCUCCACAUUCACAUGCGGAGCUCUCUGAUUGGUCCGUUUCUCUCUGUUUUAGGAGCUGAAGAAUCCACCGCCGUUUUCUGACGGCGUUUUCAAAGAUUAUAAACGUGGACAGAGCGGGAGAGAGGGACCAGGAACCAGGAACCAGGAACCAGGGACCAGGAACUAAGGACCAGGAACCAGGAACCAGGAACCAGGAACCAGGGACCAGGAACUAGG
This 7361-nucleotide long non-coding RNA is filed under the name Xyrichtys novacula (pearly razorfish). The record is from RNAcentral. Lineage: Eukaryota; Metazoa; Chordata; Actinopteri; Labriformes; Labridae.